UACGUAGGCGGCAAGCGUUGUCCGGAAUCAUUGGGCGUAAAGGGAGCGUAGGUGGGUAUUUAAGUGGAUCUUAAAAGUGCGGGGCUCAACCCCGUGAUGGGGUCCAAACUGAAUAUCUUGAGUGCAGGAGAGGAAAGCGGAAUUCCUAGUGUAGCGGUGAAAUGCGUAGAUAUUAGGAAGAACACCAGUGGCGAAGGCGGCUUUCUGGACUGUAACUGACACUGAGGCUCGAAAGCCAGGGUAGCGAACGGG
This 252-nucleotide ribosomal RNA is filed under the name uncultured bacterium. RNAcentral's name for it is "partial 16S ribosomal RNA". It matches the Rfam family "Bacterial small subunit ribosomal RNA", at positions 524 to 776 of the family's 1533-position model. The record is from RNAcentral.